This is a long non-coding RNA of Cimex lectularius (bed bug), 1066 nucleotides long. RefSeq lists it as uncharacterized. The transcript is spliced from 3 exons. The record is from RefSeq and is a predicted model, not a curated record. Lineage: Eukaryota; Metazoa; Arthropoda; Insecta; Hemiptera; Cimicidae.
GCAUUUAUCUUUGAGCACUAAAUAAACGUUCACUUUGAGCACUUUUCUCGAUUCUGACGGUUUGGCGGUCAGGCCACAUGCCGGUAGUUUGUUCUACUCUACACCACUGCUGCCUAUAGUAAAGAUACAAGGGUGAAGUUUGAAUCUUUUCCUAUCAUUACAUAAGCGAAACCAAUUCUAUAAUUUUUUCGACUAUAAUGUGUCAGUAGUUUUUCAACUAUAACCGCCGAUCCAGUAAUUUGUGCAACUAAAGAGUGUUAGCGUAGUUUUUGCGUCUAUUGACCGUUAGCGCCUCCAAAUCGGAAUUUGAAAGACGCGGGAAACGUGUAUCACAGCCGGAUAGCCGAAGGACAAUUGACAGCUGAGAAUACCGAUGUGGAAAUGGACGCCUCAAAUUCCUGAAAUCUUUUUUUUUUUUUGUAAAUCCUUUUAUUUGUUAUAUGCCCAAUUUAUAGCCCCUAACCCGCUCGGCAGUAAUAAAAACAAGGUCCCCGGAAAUAAAAAGUUGGACGAGGCGCUAUGGCCAGCUCUGGGAUGUCCCGACUUCUGGUCUUAACCACCACGAUCUGCAUUUUCCAUGUUCAAUAGUUGAUCAGAGAAAUGCAAGACAUGAUCUUCCUCCCAGGUGAACUCAAAACAAGCCAGUUAGACCUGAAAAUAGCAAGGAAGACAGGCCUGGAAGAUUGUAUCAGGUUCAACACAAUUUAGGCAGAAAUAUCACAAUUGUUUCUACUGUACUGUCACUUAAGCAAAAUUGCUUUAUAAAGCAGCCAAACAAAAUAUUUAAAUAAAACCUUUAUUUCUAAUAAAUAUAUGUGAAAAUUGAAAAGUUGUUAUUUGCACUUUUAGCAGCUUCAGUUCAGGUCAUGAAGAUAUGAACUUUCUUAAAGGCAAAAGUUUAAACCAUUUCUGAUGGACAAAACCAACGAGAGUUCACUCAUCACCAUCAACCUUUGAACACAGUUUGCAUAAUUAUCAAAAUCCCGUCUUGAAUGGCAGGUCAAACUUCUUGUUUCUAUUGAUUAAAAUUAGAUGUAAUGUAUUUUAUUAUUCAAUUCACUAGUUU